Molecule: ribosomal RNA, 867 nt
Filed under: Bacillus sp. (in: firmicutes)
Lineage: Bacteria; Bacillati; Bacillota; Bacilli; Caryophanales; Bacillaceae
Description: bacterial SSU rRNA
Rfam family: Bacterial small subunit ribosomal RNA
Source: RNAcentral
GUCGAGCGGACCGACGGGAGCUUGCUCCCUUAGGUCAGCGGCGGACGGGUGAGUAACACGUGGGUAACCUGCCUGUAAGACUGGGAUAACUCCGGGAAACCGGGGCUAAUACCGGAUGCUUGAUUGAACCGCAUGGUUCAAUUAUAAAAGGUGGCUUUUAGCUACCACUUACAGAUGGACCCGCGGCGCAUUAGCUAGUUGGUGAGGUAACGGCUCACCAAGGCAACGAUGCGUAGCCGACCUGAGAGGGUGAUCGGCCACACUGGGACUGAGACACGGCCCAGACUCCUACGGGAGGCAGCAGUAGGGAAUCUUCCGCAAUGGACGAAAGUCUGACGGAGCAACGCCGCGUGAGUGAUGAAGGUUUUCGGAUCGUAAAACUCUGUUGUUAGGGAAGAACAAGUACCGUUCGAAUAGGGCGGUACCUUGACGGUACCUAACCAGAAAGCCACGGCUAACUACGUGCCAGCAGCCGCGGUAAUACGUAGGUGGCAAGCGUUGUCCGGAAUUAUUGGGCGUAAAGCGCGCGCAGGCGGUUUCUUAAGUCUGAUGUGAAAGCCCCCGGCUCAACCGGGGAGGGUCAUUGGAAACUGGGGAACUUGAGUGCAGAAGAGGAGAGUGGAAUUCCACGUGUAGCGGUGAAAUGCGUAGAGAUGUGGAGGAACACCAGUGGCGAAGGCGACUCUCUGGUCUGUAACUGACGCUGAGGCGCGAAAGCGUGGGGAGCGAACAGGAUUAGAUACCCUGGUAGUCCACGCCGUAAACGAUGAGUGCUAAGUGUUAGAGGGUUUCCGCCCUUUAGUGCUGCAGCAAACGCAUUAAGCACUCCGCCUGGGGGAGUACGGUCGCAAGACUGAAACUCAAAGG